ACGGGAGGCAGCAGUGGGGAAUAUUGGGCAAUGGGCGAAAGCCUGACCCAGCAACGCCGCGUGAGGGAAGAAGGUUUUCGGAUUGUAAACCUCUGUCCUUGGUGACGAAGGAAGUGACGGUAGCCAAGGAGGAAGCCCCGGCUAACUACGUGCCAGCAGCCGCGGUAAUACGUAGGGGGCAAGCGUUAUCCGGAUUUACUGGGUGUAAAGGGAGCGCAGGCGGUAACGCAAGCCAGAGGUGAAAACCCGGGGCUCAACCCCGAGGAUUGCCUUUGGAACUGUGGAACUGGAGUGCUGGAGGGGCAGGCGGAAUUCCUGGUGUAGCGGUGAAAUGCGUAGAUAUCAGGAGGAACACCGGUGGCGAAGGCGGCCUGCUGGACAGUAACUGACGCUGAGGCUCGAAAGCGUGGGGAGCAAACAGGAUUAGAUACCCUGGUA
RNAcentral lists this ribosomal RNA (438 nucleotides) under uncultured Lachnospiraceae bacterium. RNAcentral's name for it is "bacterial SSU rRNA". It matches the Rfam family "Bacterial small subunit ribosomal RNA", at positions 341 to 792 of the family's 1533-position model. The record is from RNAcentral. Lineage: Bacteria; Bacillati; Bacillota; Clostridia; Lachnospirales; Lachnospiraceae.